GAUGAAGAACGUAGCGAAAUGCGAUAAGUAAUGUGAAUUGCAGAAUUCAGUGAAUCAUCGAAUCUUUGAACGCACAUUGCGCCCGCCAGUAUUCUGGCGGGCAUGCCUGUUCGGGCGUCAUUUCAACCAUCAAGCCCCAGGCUUGUGUUGGGGACCUGCGGCUGCCGCAGGCCCUGAAAACCAGUGGCGGGCUCGCUGUCACACCGGGCGUAGUAGAUUUUAUCUCGCUCAGGGCGUGCUGCGGGUUCCGGCCGUUAAAAAGCCUUUUUUACCCAAGGUUGACCUCGGAUCAGGUAGGAAUACCCGCUGAACUUAAGCAUAUCAAUAAGCGGAGGA
RNAcentral lists this unclassified non-coding RNA (336 nucleotides) under soil metagenome. RNAcentral's name for it is "partial contains 5.8S ribosomal RNA, internal transcribed spacer 2, and large subunit ribosomal RNA". The stretch from base 1 to 120 matches the Rfam family "5.8S ribosomal RNA", at positions 35 to 154 of the family's 154-position model. The record is from RNAcentral.